GACGGACGCUGGCGGCGUGCUUAACACAUGCAAGUCGAACGGUAAGGCCCUUCGGGGUACACGAGUGGCGAACGGGUGAGUAACACGUGAGUGAUCUGCCCUGCACUUCGGGAUAAGCCUGGGAAACUGGGUCUAAUACCGGAUAGGACCACUGCCUGCAUGGGUGGUGGUGGAAAGCUUUUGCGGUGUGGGAUGGGCCCGCGGCCUAUCAGCUUGUUGGUGGGGUGGUGGCCUACCCAGGCUACGACGGGUAGCCGGCCUGAGAGGGUGACCGGGCACACUGGGACUGAGAUACGGCCCAGACUCCUACGGGAGGCAGCAGUGGGGAAUAUUGCACAAUGGGCGCAAGCCUGAUGCAGCGACGCCGCGUGAGGGAUGACGGCCUUCGGGUUGUAAACCUCUUUCAGCACCGACGAAGCGCAAGUGACGGUAGGUGCAGAAGAAGGACCGGCCAACUACGUGCCAGCCGCCGCGGUAA
This 478-nucleotide ribosomal RNA is filed under the name uncultured bacterium. RNAcentral's name for it is "partial 16S ribosomal RNA". It matches the Rfam family "Bacterial small subunit ribosomal RNA", at positions 28 to 523 of the family's 1533-position model. The record is from RNAcentral.